RNAcentral lists this long non-coding RNA (877 nucleotides) under Androctonus crassicauda. Lineage: Eukaryota; Metazoa; Arthropoda; Arachnida; Scorpiones; Buthidae. The record is from RNAcentral.
CAUGGAUUAGUCAUCAUUUCAAAUAACCCAUUGUUAUACUUAGCGAUUAUACUAUAUACAGUCUUAUCUUCUUAAAAAAGAUUAUCCUUAUUGGACACCCUAUAAUUGUGUGCUUCUGUGCUUCUUACUUUCUUCCAAUAUGUAUCUCCUGGCAGAUGGCAACUCCAUUGCUGGUCUGUUAUUUAUAAGAUUUUGGUCUUCUCUCCUAGUGGUUAUUUCAGUGGUUUCUUGCGUUAUCACCUGUGAUGUCAUGGUGAUUGGUUUUAUUAUUUUAGCUUGGUCCCAUUCUAUCUAUAUGUUGUUGCUAUAUGCUUCUUCUGCCAAUGCUGUUGUUGUCCUGCCUGCCACAAUAUCUUUUUUGUGUUCGAUGAUCCUCUGGGCCAAAGUUCUAGUUGUAAUAUUUACGUAAGCAGCUUUCUUAUUCUCAGUAGGAUAAUUAAUUGGGAUACUGUAUACACCUGAUUGUUCACAGUGGCUGUGUGGGUCUUUUUCAUUACAGAAGGUGUUAAAGAGGGUUGGCGCUCUUUUUGUGGCUAUCUUCUUUCUAGUUUUUCAUGCAAUUUCUUUCACAACGUUUAGCUUGCUGGUAUGGUAGGGUACAGGUAAGUAUUCUGUUCCACCGGUUUCCCUUUCACUUACAACUCUUCGUUCUGUGGUGCGGAUCUUUUAACUUUGCAUUGUAUAUUGCUUAGGAAUUUUCUAAUAUAUCCAUGGUUAUAACCCACGUUGUAUAUGUAACUAAGUUUUUCUUGCAGGUCUCGGUUUUCAGUUGUGUAGUCAUAUGCUCUUUUAAAGGAAAAGUUAAAUGCUGCAGCCUUAUAUGAUAUCAGGUCUGACAAGGAGAGGUCCUCAAGUGGAAUCCACCGAUUUUGAUGGG